UUAUCUUGGAUUCUGAAAAAAUCUUAACAGAUUCUUGAAUAUUACACCCUUAUGUGAGUGAAGGGAACAGUUACAGCAGUAACGACUUGCUGGUGUGGAUUGAUUUGCCCUCCAGUGAGACUCCUUGGUUUCUGCUUCCUAACACGUCGUCUUCCAGAGGAGUGUUGACACAGGACUCUGGUUUGCCAUUCAUCCAAUGCAGAUCCCAACAUUAUUCUGUAGACUUAUGAUUUGAGUUCAAAAGUGUGGCUUGUUGCAUUGCUAGGGUCUGUAGUACACUCUUCUCUCCAUGCUUACCCAAAUAACUCAGGUCAAAACUUAACUUCCUUCUGCUUGGAUCUUAGGAACCUGAUACUCAUCAGAAAGACCACAGAGAAGACUGGAAGGAGGUCAUUCCUCUCAUCUCCUCAGCCUGCUGGUGCAGAUUUCCAACGUGCCCACAUUAUGGGAGUUUCUGUUUGUAUCCCACAGUAUGUUUGGCCUGAAGACCAUUG
Molecule: long non-coding RNA, 494 nt
Filed under: Gallus gallus (chicken)
Lineage: Eukaryota; Metazoa; Chordata; Aves; Galliformes; Phasianidae
Description: long non-coding RNA NONGGAT003906
Source: RNAcentral